GGUCUUGUAGCUCAGCUGGUUAGAGCGCACGCCUGAUAAGCGUGAGGUCGAUGGUUCAAGUCCAUUCAAGACCACCA
This 77-nucleotide transfer RNA is filed under the name Fastidiosipila sanguinis. Its description in RNAcentral is "tRNA-Ile". It matches the Rfam family "tRNA". Rfam says of the family: Transfer RNA (tRNA) molecules are approximately 80 nucleotides in length. Their secondary structure includes four short double-helical elements and three loops (D, anti-codon, and T loops). Further hydrogen bonds mediate the characteristic L-shaped molecular structure. tRNAs have two regions of fundamental functional importance: the anti-codon, which is responsible for specific mRNA codon recognition, and the 3' end, to which the tRNAs corresponding amino acid is attached (by aminoacyl-tRNA synthetases). tRNAs cope with the degeneracy of the genetic code in two manners: having more than one tRNA (with a specific anti-codon) for a particular amino acid; and 'wobble' base-pairing, i.e. permitting non-standard base-pairing at the 3rd anti-codon position. Lineage: Bacteria; Bacillati; Bacillota; Clostridia; Eubacteriales; Oscillospiraceae. The record is from RNAcentral.